This is an RNA transcript of Rhineura floridana, 3201 nucleotides long. RefSeq lists it as uncharacterized. The transcript is spliced from 2 exons. The record is from RefSeq and is a predicted model, not a curated record. NCBI's taxonomy places the organism in Eukaryota, Metazoa, Chordata, Lepidosauria, Squamata, Rhineuridae.
CCUGGGGUGGCCGAAGAGGCCCAGAUGGUGAAUGAAAAGCUGGAGAGGGUGGACUGCGAAGAGUUGCCGUCAGUAACGGAGAAAGAAGAAGCCGUGCGUAUGCCAGAGCCUGCCGGGGGGGAGGACUGCAGAGAGCUGGAAGCAAAUCCCCUGGUAAGGGAAGAAACUUUAAAGCAAUUUCAAGUAGGAGCUGAAAAGGAGGUGCUGCUGAUGAAUUCCUCUGCUCCGUGCGAGAAAAUACAGGAGAAGGAAUGUGUGGGAGAUGGGCAGCUGCUACCAGCUCCCUUCACUCUGUGUGCUAGAGAAACAGGUCAGGGAGAGGGAGGGGCAUGCCCACCAGAUCUUUGCGUUCUGUGUGCUCCUGUUACAGAGACAGUGCCGAAAGAAAAGCUGGAGGUGUGUGUGCCUGCUGCAAAAGGGAAGAAGCAGGUGGGAGUUCAAGUCCAAGCGGAGCUCCCAGUGCCUGCAGAGAAGGGUGAGUUAAAAUCCCCCAGUGACAUUGCCCCUGGGAUGCGCCGUGAUGAUCCCAUAAAGGGAGAAGCAAGUCCUAUGAUGGGGGUAGUGCCCGGGCGCAUUCCAGCCGUAACAAGCACCCCGUGCCCUGUGAAGGUUAAAAGGCACAGGGAGGGUUGUCUACAUUUGUUUGAGCCUCUGAGUUAUUGUGGAAAAGGGCAAAAGCAAUUUCUCGCUGCCGACCUGGGAGGGUUGGGGCAGCUAAUUGCAAAGAAGAUUCCCCCCGAUAAAGUUGCCUACCAGCUGGAAGACCAAACUUUCUCUUGGGAAGAAGAGCAAGGUCAGCCAAGUCAGGGGGUGGAAUGGUGUGCUGUUUGGGCAGUGAUCACAGGUGAGACAAGAGUGUCCCUGCAUGUCUACAUAAGCCCCUGGGCAAAGAGUAAAGAAGUAAAGAAAUGGGCAGAAGAGGAAGGAGUGGCUUGGCUCUACCCUCCAAGAGCAGCCGCCCUAAUCGAAAGAACCAGCGGUCUGAAACAGCAAAUCAAACUUCUGACAGUCAGGUCGGAUUGGAAGCACGGGAAAGGAAGAAACCUGGAAGAAGCCAGCCAUCUACUCAGUCAGAGAGGGCCCCUGGGGGGAGGGUCACCCAUGGAGCAGCUUGUGAAUCCUCCUUCGCUUCAGGAAGCAGGGGGGCACGUGUGGGCACAGCCGCUGGAAGUCGUUUGCUUAACAGCAGAAGAGAUCCCUGGAUGGCCUCUUCAACAGAAGACCUGUUGUGUGCUGCCAAGGAAACACAGCGGUUCCUGGAGAGGAAUCCUGGCACCCUGCCAGUGGCCGAAGAAAUCAGCUUGAACUAGGACCUCCUGAAACUCACGAUGGGGAAGAGCCAUGUGGGCGAAGUUAUGCACAUGAAACUGUAUGCUGGUUUUUCUGAUACAGCUCACUACAUGCUUGGAUAAUCUGCUGCCUUUCAUUGGUCUGGACAGCGUCUGAAGUUAACUCAGCUAUAGCCUGGCCAAGCUGGAAAAUCUGCUCAUUGAUAUCUCAUCAUGCUGAUUUUAAUAAAAGCUUGUUGUGUGCGUUUUAUGAUUUUCUAAAUGAGACCAAACAAUUGCAAAAAUCUUUACAGUCAGUGGUUACCCCACAGGAUACUGAGAAAGGGCUCAAAUGGUUUGACGUGAGGGCCACCCAAACCAGAGCAGUUAGAGUAGGUACCCACAAGUCCAAUGCCACUGUCAGGAUUAGAGGGGGGUUUGGGCAGUUGUUUGAUGGGCUAGGGUGGAUCACCCCUUUAAGAGUAAAUGCCCCACCACAGCCUGAACUCUGUUGGGAACAAGUAAAGCAUAAUAGAACUGCAGCUAAGUUUCAAAGACGAGUGGGUUUUAGCAGGGGAUGUCAAACAGUGCACAAGUGUCCCAAUCCUACUGAUAGUGAGCAAGGCUGGAUAUGUACUAGUUGGACCCUACGACCUGGCAUUAAUUGAGGAGCCCCUAAUGGGAGUUAUGUUCUCUGGGAUUGUUAUGGGGACCCCAUAGAUUUGAAAAAACCCUAGAAAGUCCUCUUGUAGGAAAUUACAGAGCUUGGAAGGUCAGAUGGCAAAAAGACAUUUUCAGCUCAGCUGAGUAUGCUUGGGCCCUGUUUCCCAGUGGAGGGGUGGCAGUAGAAAUAAAGCAUUUGGAAGAAGAUUCUUUCUUAAAUCCUAUUGUACAAUGGUUUCAGGGAAUAGGUGGCUGGUGAAAACAAUUAUUCUCCAUUGGGAUCACUCUUAUUUGUGGUGUUAUAUUAAUCUGCAUAUGUUUGUCUUGCUGGCGUAGUUUUAAUGGGUAAAUAGUUAAGACUACCCUUGGGGGUCAAACGACAGGGCAAAAGAAGAACCGGCCCCUUUCUGGGGUAAGAAGACCUCUGUAACGCGAAGCAUUGACGUCCUUUGACCAUCCAGGGGUGGAAUGUAUACCCUGUGCCAGCUAAUGAUUUUAAGCAAGCUGUUAUAGCCUUAAGUUAAUCAAUAUAUAUUCAACAUGUAUUUGUUAGCAAAGCCUGGAGGCUUGUAUUCCCCUUUCAGGCCCCAGCAUCUUUGGGUAUGUCAGAUCACCUCAUAGCCACCUGCAGUCUAAUCUAGGUGUUUUAAUGAGGAUAUGAUGGCUUGCCCAGUAUGAUGCUGGGAAUGUACCUUGUUAGUUAGAGAAAUAUCAAAGGAGUUUAAUUAGGCAUAUGUUUAAGUAUAUCUUUAUCAGUAGGCAGUUUAUAGUUGGCUUGCCUAGUAUGGUGUUGGAAAGCACCUUGUUAGACUUCAGAGAGUCCUGAUAGGCAUAGAUUCAAUGGAUGGGUCGAAGGACGGUCAAUGACACGAGUCAAGUAACGGUCAAAGAGAACUUUGCUUGUUAGUAAAGAUGAAGAUAAAGAUGGUAGCCAUAUAGUUUGCCAAAAGAAGAUGUCAAGGUGCUCCAAGAAAGAUAUUAUAGUUUUUUAGCAAUUAGUCUGCUUUGAAGGUGUUCUGUGAAAAGGUCAGAACUGCCAAUUAUAUGCAACAUAUGUUACUUCAAAGUGUAUAAUCUCAUUAAUCAUGUAUGUAACUCCAUGUGUAUGCCAAUGAUAUGUGCCAAGAUUUAUACUAUAUAAGCAUGAUCUGUGCCCAGCAUGAGUGUUCAGUCUCUGACGUCCGCUACUGCAGAGCGGUGGGACUGAUCCACUUUUAUUGGGAAUACUUGGCUGAAUGCUGUAAGUUACUCAAUAAAUUUUAACUCUUUG